This 3587-nucleotide long non-coding RNA is filed under the name Sus scrofa (pig). RNAcentral's name for it is "lncRNA (ENSSSCG00015004811.1)". The record is from RNAcentral. Lineage: Eukaryota; Metazoa; Chordata; Mammalia; Artiodactyla; Suidae.
GGGGGGGGGGAAGAAUGGGGACCCUUCCUGCUGCCCGCUCUGGGCUCCUGCUCAUUUAAGGCAAUGGUUUCCCUGCUUUAUCUUCCAUCAGAAUACCCCUCCCUGCCUUGCACGCACGUGUGUAUGGGGUGGGGGUGGGGGUGGGGCUCUUCCUUCUCUCCCCUGUGCCCCACAGCACGUGAGAACAGGUGAGCUGUUUGGAUCAGGGCUAGAUCCCCGUCGCCCAGGCCUGCACAGGUCUGGCUCGGAACAGGCUCUCCAUAUUUGCGGAAUGAAUAAAUAAAUGAAUGAAUGGGGCACCUCCUCCAAGAAGCCGUCCCAGCCCCCAGGUGAGGAGAGGUCUCCUUGCCACACACCCCGGACCUUAUGGCACUUCAUGCAACAGCGUCUGACAAUUCCCUGGGCUUCAGGUGGGCACGUCCUGCAGGAAGAGAAGCCCCUUCAAGGCCAGUUCCACAGCUGCCUUAUUUAUGGCCACAUCCCCAGCCACGGCUCCCAGCCCAACACUUAGCAGGUCCCCAAUAAACGCUCCAGAACAGAUGGCCAAAUGGAUAUGGGUGUGUGGUGUGAACACAACAGGGGUGGGCUUUGGGGGAGCCCAGGAUUCACUGCCCAGUUUUCUGAUCACCCGGGGCAUCUAUCCUAUAAGCAGGUUCCCCCCUGCCCCUCGCCGACCCGUGGCAGUGAACCAGCUGGUCCUUGGGGCAUCGGAUGGCCCUUGGUUCUUGCUUUGCUUCCACGACCAACCCGGGUGGUCACCCAGAUCUCCGCGGGGGGGCAGCCACCCCUCCAAACAUUGCUGGGCACUGGCCAGAGGCGGAGUCUAGACAUAGUCGGAUGUGCUCCUAUCCAAGAGGAACCGGGUCCCCUCCCCAGAUUCUUUGGAGAGACAGAGGAGUCCACGGCCCAGCGCCCACGAGGGGCGGCCAGGUGGAACCAGCCAGGUGUCCUUGACUCCAUUCUAGGCUGCUUUAUGGGGGUGUGUCCUGCGCAGGCAUCCAGGAGCCGGGUUUAAUUCUCUACCGCUGCCAUCCUGAAAUUCUUCAUACUUUAAAAUGUAUUUAUUUAUUUAUAUUUCCUUUUUUGGCUGCGCUGAGGCUUAUGGAGUUCCCGGGCCAGGGGCCAGGGAUCAGAUUCGAGCCGCAGUUGCGACCUAAGCCGCAGCUGCACCCAAGCGAGGUCUUUACCCCAUUGUGACAGGCUGGGGAUCCAAGCUGCAUUCUAGGGCUCCCGAGAUGCCGCUGAUCUCCUCGCCACAGUGGGAAACACCCCUAAAUUCUUCAUCCUUUUUGAGCAGAACUGGGCAUUUCCACUUUGGACUGGGCCCCACUCAUUAUGAAGCUGGUCUUGGUUGUCAGGGUGGACGUUUCACGGCGGGGGGUAAAGGAGGAGGGGUCUCACUAGCAGGUGUGCUGGGGGGCUACGGCCCUUGGCAAUGGCAGGAACUGGCCAGAGAUGUGGCUUUACUGGAAAUGGCCUCAUUCAAAUGGGAAAGUGGCUUAAAAAGAAUCUCAUGUGGCUUCUAAAGAGUUAGCUUUUAGGCUCCACUGCGUGGGUGUUGGGCCAGCUCUGGGUCCUUCGGGAAAGAAACCGCAAAAGCCACUCGCAGGAAGCACAUCCGGCGGAUGCUCCACCUUCAUCUCGCGGCCUCGCCCCUCUCCCUGCGGCAGGACCAAGACGCACCCUGGCCUUGGCGGGCAAGGGUUUGCGGCCCCGCAUCCUUCCAGCAAAACAGGCAGAACCAAAGAGACAAAACCCUUGUCCGCAGGGGUUUGCACUCGUGGGAAGAAAGACCAGGCGAAGAAAUUACGACAGACAGGGAGGUUGGAGCAGGCAGUGGGCUUCGGGGUGGAGGGCGGCCUUUUAGAAAAGCCCUGAUGGCCAGUGGAACAAGGUGGGGCCCCUGCCUUGCAGGCCACGUCCACUUCUCCUCUGCCUGCAGAGUCCCGGGCUCGGCCAGCCUGGCCUCGGCCUUCAGCCACUUCAAUCUGUCCCCUGACCCGACAGACGGGCAGAAAACCGUGCGGGAAGACAAAUGAGGAUGCCUUGAAAAAGGCACCUCCCCACCCGCCCCCCUGCUCCCCCAGGGGCUUCCAGGCAGGGAAGGAGCAGGGCUGGGCCCUGACGCUGACCUCGUUUUGCUCUCUGGUACCUUCUCCCAUCCCCAGCAUCUGCGGCCUGCCUCCGUCCUCUCAUCAAAAUCAAAUGACCGAGAUGAGGCAGAGACAGGUGGGCUGGGACCACCUCCCCUUCGAUUCCAAAUCCAGGGUCAAAGGCACAGAUGGCGGUCCCCAUUUUCUACCGCUUUUCUCGCUUUCCAGAACUGUCUCCUCAGCUUCAUCUUAUUUUUGCUAAAGUGCCACGUGGGAAAGCUGUGACACCGGGCCACACAUCCUCUGAGUCAAUAUUGUGUGCGUAGAUGCUGGGAGGUGACCUUGCAUCAGCCUCCUGCCACCCCCACAAGUCCCCUGGAUUAUCCAGAAGAGCCCUUCACAGGGUAGGUCUCACUAUGCCACCAGCUAGCGACUGGGCCAAACGGAGAUGGGGGAAAAUUCCCAUGACGUUAACUCACUGGGUAUCGCACCUGCUUUUCCUCCCUGGCUGGAGGAUUGGGAGACGUCAGAAAACAAUUACAGCGACAAGAGCCACAAAACGGCCACCCCAGGUCCAAGGGUAGAACGACGAGAAGGCAGAGGACAGGACGGGCAGCCCCGAAACUUUAUAAAUAAGAGGGGCCUCUCAUGAAACCAGGCCUGCAGAGCCCCGCACAAGGCUUACAAGUUGUGACUGGUUCCGCACCUGGGUCCCUCGGCCACCCCCUCCUCUGGAUUCCGGAGCAGCCCUACUCUGCCUCCCUGCCCGGCUUCCCACUGUCCACACUGUAGCCAAAGCUGGUGCGAGCAUCCUUUGUAGAGCGAUUUGGGCAAGUGUCAGGGCAUAGUCUGCUAGAGCCCCACCUGUGCGCACCUUUGACCCGGCAAGUUCCUUCCCGACAGAUGCUCCCAUGUGUUCACACAAAAACGCACACAGCACACCCAGAGGCGCUCUGCUCCCAAGAGCCCCCACAGUGGCCUGUCCAAGUGGCAUGAAAUGAACGCGCCACAUGACACAUGGGUUACAAGGACAGGGCUCACAGCACACGCUGAGCCAAAGACUUAGACACGGCAGCAUUCGCUGCCCCCCUGUGCUGGUACAUGACUCAAAACCAGGCAAAAAUCCCUGUGGCGCUGGAAGGUGUGGGAGAAGCUGGGGUUGGGGGGGGGGACUGGAAGAGGUCAGGAAGAGGACCUGCUGUCACAGUCUUUUUCUUUCCGGAGCUAGUUACACGGGUGCGCUCCUUUUACAAAAACCCCUUGCGUUGUACUGCUGGGGACGGAACCAGCCCCAAGUUCAUGUGCUGAAGCCCUACGCCCCAGGGUGACUGGACUUGGAGGCAGAGCUUUUAAGGAGGUAACUGAGGUUAAAUGAGCUCAUUAACCGUAAGGGAGGGGAUCCAGUCCGUAGGGACAUCAGAGAGACACCAGAGAUCUCUCUGCACAAACAGAGCAAAGGCCAUGUGAGGACACAGCAAGAGGGCAGCUGUCUGC